This 397-nucleotide ribosomal RNA is filed under the name uncultured bacterium. RNAcentral's name for it is "partial 16S ribosomal RNA". It matches the Rfam family "Bacterial small subunit ribosomal RNA", at positions 523 to 918 of the family's 1533-position model. The record is from RNAcentral.
AUACGUAGGUGGCAAGCGUUGUCCGGAAUUAUUGGGCGUAAAGCGCGCGCAGGUGGUUCCUUAAGUCUGAUGUGAAAGCCCCCGGCUCAACCGGGGAGGGUCAUUGGAAACUGGGGAACUUGAGUGCAGAAGGGGAUAGUGGAAUUCCAAGUGUAGCGGUGAAAUGCGUAGAGAUUUGGAGGAACACCAGUGGCGAAGGCGACUGGCUGGUCUGUAACUGACACUGAGGCGCGAAAGCGUGGGGAGCAAACAGGAUUAGAUCCCCUGGUAGUCCACGCCGUAAACGAUGAGUGCUAAGUGUUGGGGGGUUUCCGCCCCUCAGUGCUGCAGCUAACGCAUUAAGCACUCCGCCUGGGGAGUACGGUCGCAAGACUGAAACUCAAAUGAAUUGACGGGG